AUUGAACGCUGGCGGCAGGCCUAACACAUGCAAGUCGAGCGGAUGAAGGGAGCUUGCUCCUGGAUUCAGCGGCGGACGGGUGAGUAAUGCCUAGGAAUCUGCCUGGUAGUGGGGGAUAACGUCCGGAAACGGGCGCUAAUACCGCAUACGUCCUGAGGGAGAAAGUGGGGGAUCUUCGGACCUCACGCUAUCAGAUGCACCUAGGUCGGCUUCGCUAGUUGGUGGGGUAAAGGCCUACCAAGGCGACGAUCCGUAACUGGUCUGAGAGGAUGAUCAGUCACACUGGAACUGAGACACGGUCCAGACUCCUACGGGAGGCAGCAGUGGGGAAUAUUGGACAAUGGGCGAAAGCCUGAUCCAGCCAUGCCGCGUGUGUGAAGAAGGUCUUCGGAUUGUAAAGCACUUUAAGUUGGGAGGAAGGGCAGUAAGUUAAUACCUUGCUGUUUUGACGUUACCAACAGAAUAAGCACCGGCUAACUUCGUG
RNAcentral lists this ribosomal RNA (484 nucleotides) under uncultured bacterium. Its description in RNAcentral is "partial 16S ribosomal RNA". It matches the Rfam family "Bacterial small subunit ribosomal RNA", at positions 30 to 507 of the family's 1533-position model. The record is from RNAcentral.